Molecule: long non-coding RNA, 2470 nt
Filed under: Homo sapiens (human)
Lineage: Eukaryota; Metazoa; Chordata; Mammalia; Primates; Hominidae
Description: HSALNT0344503
Source: RNAcentral
UUCCAAAUCCCACCUGCAGGUGGUGGUCUCUAGCACUCCUCUUGGUUCAUGGGCCUUGACUGACAGCUUUCUCCUGCAGCCAUCCUCUCCACAAUUCUGGGAGCGUCGACUGUGCUCACUCAACACUCCCUUUAACAAAGUGACAUCAGAUGUUUGGGCCCUACUUGCAUUUAAGCCAUCCAGUGCAUUCCACAUAAAAAGCGUGCACCUGGAGGAAACUAAAUAAUCACAACCAAUCACUCUUUUUUUAGAAAAAAGCAGCAGCUCUCUCAAUGUAGACCAAUUUAUCGGUCUAAACUAGAGAGACCGGGCAAGCCACUUCCAUCUUGCGAGUUUAGCAUAUUUGCCUGUUGACACCUACACUUGGAGGAAGCCAUUCUGUGUGUGUGGUGUGCCUUCACAAGUAAUUUCUAUGGAAAACAGCCGUCAGACAGUCAUCCUGGCCCAAGGUGACCUCAUUACCAGAAUUUGUUCUAGUUGUCAUUAGACAUAUCACACUAUGUCACUCAAAAUGGGAAAGAAAGAGAAGAUACUGACAUGCCGCCCCAGUGAUUAGAGAUGAAAAUGUAGUUAUACCAUAUAUGAUCCCUGCUUGGAGACUAUACGGAUAGGGUUUAAGAUUCAGGCCCCCCUCAGAUCCAUCACUGUGGUCCUGAAGCCUCUGUCCUUCUUCUGUUCUUUUAAACUUCUCUGUGUAGAUACAGCAAGUGUGUUUUCUACUCACUGCACAGCCAGCGCUGCUCUUGAACAAACUCCUGAGGGAGGUGCACGGAAACCAUGCAUCCAAAUCCGGAGAGCAGGGAGACCAGCCGGAUAGCCCACCUGGCUGACGAGACCCGGCCUCGCUCAGAAAGCUCCUCCAAGAUGCCACCGCGUGUGAAAUGCUUGGGGUUGAAUCUCGAGAGCAGGGAGACCAGCCAGACAGCCCACCUGGCUGACGAGACCCGGCCUCGCUUAGAAAGCUCCUCCAAGAUGCCACCGCAUGUGAAAUGCUUGGGGUUGAAAUGUAACGAAUCUCUCACUACUGACAAGAGAAAGGCCAGAACACAAACACACUUCCUGCUUCCAGAUGGAUGGAGGUGGGAGGAGGGAGGGGUUCUGACCAUCUUCUCUGGUGCUCAGUGAGGCAAUAGCAUGAGAUAGAUACCCUCAUCUACAGCCCCGCUCUCGUAUGUCCGGGGGAAGCUAUGGAGAGGGUGCUGCAAAGCUGCCAGCAAGUAUGUCUGCCUCUGACGAGUCACUGUUGGAUGUGAGGCAACGUGAAGGCUCCACCACUAGGACCCAGGCAAGACUGCCAAGCGGAUGAGGCUUCGCUUUAGGACCAUGGACUCUGGCGGCAGAUAAUGGCCUGAGAGGUCAGCUAGUCCAAUUGCUUCCUUGUAGACACGCAGAAACUGACGCCCAGAGAGGCAGGGCACCCCGUGUGUGGUCACCGUGGUCAGUGGCAGAGGUGGGGCUGGAGGUCAGAACUGGCUGCAUCCGUCUCCAUCUCCCCAAGCACAGGCCAUGCCUGCCUCUCCCAGGUGGCAUCUCCUCUCUGUGGUCCUUUCCCUCCUGCCUGCCUUUCUGCGACAUCUGCACUAUUCAGACAUCACGCUUCCUUUCGUCCUCACUCAAAAUUCCCAUUCACUCAGCAUUACCACGGUUUGAUAUUAGGACUGCUUGAUUCAAGCCAAUAGUGCUAAAUUAGAAAUAAUGAAGGCUUCACUCUUCCACGGGGUUCUGCCCUUGGAAGAACUAAUGAAACCCAAGGACCAUCCAGUUGGCAGGACUGGAAGUAACUGGGCAGAGGAGACAUUUUGGAGCAGGUGGUCGGUGCCCACCCACUGACAGGAGCUGCCGGUUUCUGACCCACUCCACCCCUCCUCCAGGACCCUCCAGAGUGAAUCUGGAGCGAGGGGGCCCAGUGACUUUGGGGUCAUUUGCACGGUAUCAGCUAUAGCCGCAGUGAGAGGGAGGCUGCUGGACACGCUGGGGUUCACCUGUGUCCCAGGAGAACCCCGCUUUAGGAUAUAACGGGUUCAUGCACUGGAGUAGCUGCCGGUACACAUCUAGGGAGUGAUGAUCCCCCUCCACCAGCCAGUGGGGAAUGAGCCCGUGAAGGUCACAGCCAGCCAUGAAACAGCUGCACUGCCCCAGCACGCCGCCCACGCUUGGUCGGCAACACAGAGAUUCCAUUUCUUCCUGGGAUUAGGAAGCACGAAGUGUCCAGAUCUGCUUCUGAAAUCUCUUCCUCCCUUAAGCCAGGGUCAAAGCUGCCUCAUGCAGACGGAGAGGAGAAGCUGCGUUCCCUGCCUUUCCCGAAUUGUUUGUGGACUGUGAGUGAUGCAUGUCCUGUGGCACCAUGGGAGCACCAGGGAACACCAUGCUGUCUCUCCCCGGAGCCCCCACUGGCGUCCUGGCCAUUUCCAGCUUGUCUCCCAAAGACAGGCUUCUUUGUGCUUUGGUCACACGGAGAAUUAUCAGUGCA